CAUGGGGUGCAAACGUUGCUCGGAAUUAUUGGGCGUAAAGCGCGCGUAGGCGGUUACUCAAGUCGGAUGUGAAAGCCCUCGGCUUAACUGAGGAAGUGCACCCGAAACUGAGUAGCUAGAGUACUAAAGAGGGUCGCGGAAUUCCCGGUGUAGAGGUGAAAUUCGUAGAUAUCGGGAGGAACACCGGUGGCGAAGGCGGCGACCUGGUAGAUACUGACGCUGAGGCGCGAAAGCGUGGGGAGCAAACAGGAUUAGAUACCCUGGUAGUCCACGCCGUAAACGAUGGUGCUAGAUGUUUCUGGUAUUGACCCCGGAGGCGUCGUAGCUAACGCGUUAAGCACCCCGCCUGGGGAGUACGGCCGCAAGGCUA
RNAcentral lists this ribosomal RNA (370 nucleotides) under uncultured organism. RNAcentral describes it as "bacterial SSU rRNA". It matches the Rfam family "Bacterial small subunit ribosomal RNA", at positions 526 to 896 of the family's 1533-position model. The record is from RNAcentral.